UACGUAGGGUGCAAGCGUUGUCCGGAAUUAUUGGGCGUAAAGAGCUCGUAGGCGGUUUGUCGCGUCGGCUGUGAAAACCUAGGGCUCAACUCUGGGCUUGCAGCCGAUACGGGCAAACUAGAGUGUGGUAGGGGAGACUGGAAUUCCCGGUGUAGUGGUGAAAUGCGUAGAGAUCGGGAGGAACACCAGUGGCGAAGGCGGCUCGCUGGGCCGGCCCUGACGCUGAGACGCGAAGGCGUGGGGAGCGAACGGG
This 253-nucleotide ribosomal RNA is filed under the name uncultured bacterium. RNAcentral's name for it is "partial 16S ribosomal RNA". It matches the Rfam family "Bacterial small subunit ribosomal RNA", at positions 524 to 776 of the family's 1533-position model. The record is from RNAcentral.